CCCAGCGUGGUGUAAUGGUUUGAGUGCUGGACUAUGACUCUAGAGACCAGGGUUCAAAUCCCAGCACAGUGA
Molecule: non-coding RNA, 72 nt
Organism: Phrynosoma platyrhinos (Desert horned lizard)
Lineage: Eukaryota; Metazoa; Chordata; Lepidosauria; Squamata; Phrynosomatidae
Source: the annotation of a GenBank genome assembly